Molecule: long non-coding RNA, 1478 nt
Organism: Choloepus didactylus (southern two-toed sloth)
Lineage: Eukaryota; Metazoa; Chordata; Mammalia; Pilosa; Megalonychidae
Exons: 3
Source: RefSeq, a predicted model, not a curated record
CGAACAUUUUUUAAUUUUUCUAUAUUAAACUUAACCCAACUUGAGUGCCCCACAGGACACAAUUGGCAGGAAGCUCAAUACAGAUACCUUUCCCUGUUUCCUUUCCCUCCCUUAGAUGGUGGGACCUGGAACUCUGCAAGUUUCAUGUGAAGAUGAGGGGGCUCUGUGCUGGUGCCUUACCCCUUCCAGGCUAGGCACAGCGGAAACUUCAUGAUGGGGAAACUUCACCUGGGAUCCCACAGCCUUGAAGGAAUCUUUCCUAUUCUGUGACUCUAUGAUUCAGGACUUCCUGGAAUUCUAAAGCACUAGAAGCUUUCCAAAGGGCUCCAACUACCUAAUUGCCAGCUUCCAAGCUCUUCCCAGCAUUACUUUUAUGAGAGGUUCCAAGUCAAAAAGUCUCAGUGAAGGGCUAAUUGAAACAGAUUAAGUCAGGUCAACUCCAAAGAAAUCCACUGUGACCAGAGAAUAAUGAAAUGACAUGGCAGCUCCUGUGGGAACCACAGAGCUGGAAGAACAGAAGUGAGAUGCUGGCUGAGCAAAACAAGGGGUGCCUGUUACAUCUGCCCUUACUUUUUCAUGCCAACUCAGCUUACUGUCAGGCAACGGUUCUGUUCACUCAUUAAAUAAGCGCUUAUUGAGUGUCUGCUUCAUGCUAUGGACUGUGCUAGAUUUUGGGGACACAAGGAUGAAUAUGAUGUUCUUCUAUUAUGUGUCUCACAGAGUACUAGGCACUCAGGUAUAAAUAAAUAUAAAACAAUUGGCUUGGAACCUUCAGGAACUUGCCAUGUAACUGGAGGAAGAAGACUAUGGUAUGUAUUUGGAGAAUAAUCGAGAGUUAAGCUGUCUGCUAUGGAUGAUGAGGGUAAGAGAAGGCUCAAGGUAAGUGAGGUCAGUGAGACCUGAGCAGUCAGAGGAAGCAUCUUCUUUGGGGUCUUAAAGAGUGAGGAAGUUUCUGUUUAUGAUUACACGUGUUUAAGUGCAGUAUUUUCACAACAUCAGACUGAGGCCCUCUGCUCAAGGUUCUGUGCAUCUGGAGGCAUUCUGGAAGGCAGCUGUUUAGCCAGUGGCCCUAUUCCUUUCUCACAGACAGGACUACCACCCACAGCUCUUCUGAUAGCCUUGUUUUUAAUUGCUGUGGCAUGUUGGAUCAAAGCCUCUGAGUUUGAUGCAAGUUCAAAAUAAUUUCCUUCAAGGAUUAACUCAUCUUUUCUGGGCUUGGGGAGCUACACAAGCAACAUCUGGUACAGCCUUCAGCGGGAUCUUUCACCCAAGGAGUUUCUGAUUUCAACAUGUGAGCCACCCUGCAGAAUAACAUCAGCGAUGGGAAACAGCACUCAGACCUUAUCUCGUAAUGAAAGCUCCAUGUAACACCCCCGGUCAUGUUUGCACACGACUAAUAAAUGGCACAAAUUGUGACAGGUGCCUUAUCAUUUUGUCUCUUGCCAAAAUGACUGAAUUCGACACUGAUGGGGCUGAAA